Molecule: non-coding RNA, 4355 nt
Organism: Xyrichtys novacula (pearly razorfish)
Lineage: Eukaryota; Metazoa; Chordata; Actinopteri; Labriformes; Labridae
Source: the annotation of a GenBank genome assembly
AUUAGGUUUUGGGGCUAGGGUUAGGUUUAAGGUUUUUGGCGUUAGGGUUAAAAUAACUGUCCAAUAUUUUUUAAGGAACAUGUUUCAGACCUUUGGGAGUUAGUUAGACAAAAAAAGAAAAAGAAAAAAAAAAUAUUUGGGGUGUUCGGGUUUCCUGAAGGUAAUACCCGGGUAUAAGGUUAUGGGGCUAGGGUAAGGUUUAAGGUUUUUGGCGUUAGGGUUAAAAUCAAUGUCCAAAACCUUUGUAGGAACUCUUUUCCAACAUUUGAGAGCAAGUUAGACCAAAACAAAAAGAAAAAUAAAAAAUAUAUAUUUGGGGUGUUCGGGCUUCCUGAAGGUAAUACCCGGGUAUUAGGUUAUGGGGCUAGGGUAAGGUUUAAGGUUUUUCGGCGUGAGGGUAAAAAUCACUGUCCAAAACCUUUGUAGGAACUCUUUUCCAACCUUUGGGAAUAAGUUAGACAAAAAAAAUAAGAUAAAUGAAAAAAAAAUAUUUGGGGUGUUUCGGGCUUCCUGAAGGUAAUACCCGGGUAUUAGGUUUUGGGGCUAGGGUUAGGUUUAAGGUUUUUGGCGUUAGGGUUAAAAUAACUGUCCAAUAUGUAGCAAUCAAGACAACCCUGGAUGUGAAACCCACACAUUCCUUACAGGAAAGUUUCCUUAUCUGGUCCCAGGAAACAGGAUAUAAAUCUUUCCAGACGUGUUUGCACUUUCAGGUUAAAUAAGUGACCCAACCGGAGGUUGACUAAACCUCUGACUCUUCAGGAUUGGUCAGUUCGGCGAACAGAGACAGAGUUUUUAUUACCUUUCAAACUGACUCCAUUUGCUGACCAUCUAAAUAAACAUUAACCUCAACCCAGAUCUCCCAUUUGAGAUUUAGCGUCUUAAAGUGUGUGAACAUACGGACCCCAGGAUAAGGGGGGGACACUGACCUCCAGACCUCGGUCGUAAAACCCUGCUCGACCAUACACUGAUAAAGACUGCAUUCCUUUGGUGAAAGAAUACAAAUGACUGAUCAUGACAUCUUAUGCAUUCAGCAAUGUACUAAUCUGUCUAAUCAUGAAAUUUGUGUUAAAAUGAGAUGUUUCCCAUUUUUCUAUGUGCUCCAGAAGCCGAGUUAUCGCUCUUUAGUUUCUUUAGACCAACAGCUUUUCAGACUGUUUCAUGAACUUUUAAGAGUUACAUUUAUUGACUAUGGAUCAUAACUUUACUCUAUGAACACAGAAAUAGUUUAGAAAUGUUUGGUCUAUAUUUUAAUCGUUUAUUUAGUAUUUUUAACCAUUAGGUGGUUAUAAUGUCAUUGAAUAACCUUAAUGUGAGUAUUUAGAAUCCAUUAUUAAUCAUGAUGAAGUUCAUUCACAUGUGUUUACUCUUUUGUUGUUCACAGUUUCCAUGUGUUACUAUCUGUUUCAUUUCAGAGUAAUUUAGCAUGUUCAAUGUGAUACUUUAAACAUAAUGAGAAUGUUUGAUGUGAUCCUACACUUCAUUCAUAUGUGUUUAGUGUCAAAUUAUUUGUCAUGAAACCAAGCAUUCAAUGAUAUUAAUCAUAGUGAGUGAGUAUCAGAUCUGACUCUUUUACCAGCCAAAAGAAUAAGUUAGAUCAAAUAAUCAAAGACCACACGACCCUCCUCUGUCUCACACACACACGCCGGAGCCACUCCCAGUGUGAGAAGAUAAAACCAGUGAAGUGGGGUUGCUCACUCUCUUAUGCUUCUCUUAUGUCUCUUCUGCUUCUGCUCUUGUGUGCUGACUCUCCUGUCUCUCUUAGGCCCCUUACUCUUGGGCCCUUCUCUUCUGUCCACACCCUUCUGUGGUCCUCUUCUUCUUUGUUUUCUCUUAGAACUUUUUCUUAGUCUUCUAAGUUUUACGCCACGUGUUGAUUCACGUUGAUUUUUCUUUAACAUCGUCUUAGUUCAAGUUUUGAAACUUCAACUUUUUGUGCGCAUAGCAAUUCAAGAUUAAGCCUUUGAUUGAUUUUUCUUUAAUUUUGCAAAGCCAUUUUUGAAAGUUUUCUCUGCUCGAGUCUCGUUUUUCUGAGUUUUCUGCGUGAUCUCAAAGUCACCUCUGAACGCAACCCAGUAGGCCCAGGUCAUCCUCUGUGCCAGAGUUUUUGAGUGAGACCAAAGAAGUACCCAAACGAGCAUCCACAGGAUCCACAGGCGCUGGCUUUACUUCGGGCCCGAGUGCUGCAACUCCUGGCUCAUCCUUCGGCUGACUUCAGUCGUCUUCUGAGCUGAACCGCUCGAACCGCCAGUAGCCCCGGACCUUCGGAACCUGCUCCAUCUUCUCCAAGGACCAGUCUCACUUAAGUAUGCAAACCUCCAGAGCUCCAGACAGGGCUGAUGCUGUCUCAUGCGUUCAUAACUUAGAUAUCCACCUAUUUCUGGUGAUCUUAGAUUCCUCCAAAUCCACAUCCGAGUUUAUCUCGACACCAAAGUUAGUGUAGGUUAAUAUGUUAGCGCAUAUUCACUCACUAUCAUUAACUUUAGUGCUCUUAGCCUGACUCAGAAUCUUUAUUUAUUCACCUAUUAUUAUUUAUCUUCAUUAUCUUAUCAUCAUUUAUUGCAUGUGUGUUGUACCAUCAUUUAUCCUGUAAUAAACAGAUCAUUAUUUUUCUAAGUUCCUGUCUGUUAGUGUUCUUCCAGAAGUGGAGUCCCUGAAAUUAGAAUUUCGACUUAAGAUAUGAGACUGAUUAAUUAAGACUGAUUAAUUAAGGCUGAUUAAUAAAAACUGACUUGAUGUUUGAUUUCUGAAUUAAACUUUUGUUUUCUUUAUUUUCCCACCAUUAAGGGUGGGUGGUGCCCCUUUCAACGAGUGCAUAAAUGUCAUAAUUUGAGAUUAUUAAUCUUCAGACAUUUAUUAUAAAUUCCAAUCGCCAAGUAUUAUUUUGGUGCGGCCUUGUGAGGCUCAUUUCAAAUCGCUACAUAUAUUUUGGUGCGACCGUAUGAGGCUCAUUUCAAAUCACUACAAAUAUUUUUUAAGGAACAUGUUUCAGACCUUUGGGAGUUAGUUAGACAAAAAAAAAGAAAAAGAAAAAAAUAUAUAUUUGGGGUGUUCGGGUUUCCUGAAGGUAAUACCCGGGUAUUAGGUUAUGGGGCUAGGGUAAGGUUUAAGGUUUUUGGUGUUAGAGUUAAAAUCAGUGUCCAAAACCUUUUUAGGAACAUGUUUAAGACCUUUUAGAGUUGGUUACACCAAAAAAAUGUAAAAUGAAAAAAAAAUAUUUGGGGUGUUGGGGCUUACUGAAGGUAAUACCCGGGUAUUAGGUUUUGGGGCUAGGGUAAGGUUUAAGGUUUUUGGCGUUAGGGUUAAAAUCACUGUCCAAAACCUUUGUAGGAACUCUUUUUCCAACCUUUUGGAGUUAGUUAGACAAAAAAAAUGUAAAAUGAAAAAAAUAUAUUUGGGGUGUUCAAGCUUCCUGAAGGUAAUACCCGGGUACUAGGUUUUGGGGCUAGGGUAAGGUUUAAGGUUUUUGGUGUUAGGGUUAAAAUCACUGUCCAAAACCUUUUUAGGAACAUGUUUCAGACCUUUUGGAGUAGGUUACACCAAAAAAAAAUGUAAAAUGAAAAGAAAAUAUUUGGGGUGUUCAAGCUUCCUGAAGGUAAUACCCGGGUAUUAGGUUUUGGGGCUAGGAUUAGGUUUAAGGUUUUUGGCGUUAGGGUUAAAAUCACCGUCCAAAACCUUUUGCAGGAACUCUUUUCCGACCUUUUGGAGUUAGUUAGACCAAAAAAAAAAAAAAUGAAAAAAAUAUAUUUGGGGUGUUCGGGCUUCCUGAAGGAAAUACCCGGGUAUUAGGUUUUGGUGCUAGGGUUAGGUUUAAGGUUUUUGGCGUUAGGGUUACAAUAACUGUCCAAUAUUUUUUAAGGAACAUGUUUCAGACCUUUGGGAGUUAGUUAGACAAAAAAAAAAGAAAAAGAAAAAAAAAAUAUUUGGGGUGUUCGGGUUUCCUGAAGGUAAUAUUAGGUAGGUAUUAGGUUAUGGGGCUAGGGUAAGGUUUAAGGUUUUUGGCGUUAGAGUUAAAAUCAGUGUCCAAAACCUUUUUAGGAACAUGUUUAAGACCUUUUGGAGUUGGUUACACCAAAAAAAAAUGUAAAAUGAAAAAAAAAAAUAUUUGGGGUGUUCGGGCUUCCUGAAGGUAAUACCCGUAUAUUAGGUUUUGGAGCUAGGGUAAGGUUUAAGGUUUUUGGUGUUAGGGUUAAAAUCACUGUCCAAAACCUUUGUAGGAACUCUUUUCCAACCUUUUGGUGUUAGUUAGACCAAAAAAAAAAGAAAAAAGAAAAAAAUAUAUUUGGGGUCUUCGGGCUUCCUGAAGGAAAUACCCAGGUAUUAGGUUAUGGGGCUAGGGUAAGGUUUAAGGUUUUUGG